AUUGAACGCUGGCGGCAGGCCUAACACAUGCAAGUCGAACGGUAACAGGAAGCAGCUUGCUGCUUUGCUGACGAGUGGCGGACGGGUGAGUAAUGUCUGGGAAACUGCCUGAUGGAGGGGGAUAACUACUGGAAACGGUAGCUAAUACCGCAUAACGUCGCAAGACCAAAGAGGGGGACCUUAGGGCCUCUUGCCAUCGGAUGUGCCCAGAUGGGAUUAGCUAGUAGGUGGGGUAACGGCUCACCUAGGCGACGAUCCCUAGCUGGUCUGAGAGGAUGACCAGCCACACUGGAACUGAGACACGGUCCAGACUCCUACGGGAGGCAGCAGUGGGGAAUAUUGCACAAUGGGCGCAAGCCUGAUGCAGCCAUGCCGCGUGUAUGAAGAAGGCCUUCGGGUUGUAAAGUACUUUCAGCGGGGAGGAAGGGAGUAAAGUUAAUACCUUUGCUCAUUGACAUUACCCGCAGAAGAAGCACCGGCUAACUCCGUG
RNAcentral lists this ribosomal RNA (490 nucleotides) under uncultured bacterium. RNAcentral's name for it is "partial 16S ribosomal RNA". It matches the Rfam family "Bacterial small subunit ribosomal RNA", at positions 30 to 507 of the family's 1533-position model. The record is from RNAcentral.